GCUCCCCAUUCUGCACCGACCUGUGAAUUCCAAUCCCCUUUGUUGUCCUUCUACAUGAUGUAGAUACACUCACAACAACAGUAGUUUCUGAAUGUUCAUGAUCAACAACUACUCUGAAACGAAGGAUCCCCAUCAGCAGAUUGCACUCCUAACAGCGUUCCUGGCAAAGGUGAAUAAGGUAUUUGGCCUUAAGUCAAAAAGCAAUACUCUGGUGAUAUUUUAGAACAGUUGAAUCUUUGUUGAGGAGAUUGGUUAAGCAAGCGGAGUCUGGUGAUACUUCUGGUGAUAUUUAGUCUUUCUUUCCCUGUUUUUCAAAGCCUCUGUCAGUUGACACAAACUAGGUUACCCAUCCAUUUUAAAAACAUCAACAUUGAUCGAAUAUUGUA
Molecule: long non-coding RNA, 386 nt
Organism: Papaver somniferum (opium poppy)
Lineage: Eukaryota; Viridiplantae; Streptophyta; Magnoliopsida; Ranunculales; Papaveraceae
Exons: 3
Source: RefSeq, a predicted model, not a curated record